RNAcentral lists this unclassified non-coding RNA (337 nucleotides) under Hevea brasiliensis (rubber tree). The record is from RNAcentral. Lineage: Eukaryota; Viridiplantae; Streptophyta; Magnoliopsida; Malpighiales; Euphorbiaceae.
GAGUGAUGAUUUUGAAGGCAAGGGCGACUUUAGCCAGUAUCGUUCUAAGCUACCAGCGCUAAAGUUUCUGAGACAAUUUUUUCAAUCAUCAAGAGCUUCUCCAUUUCAGCAAUUCCUGUUCAGGUGUAUUAUGAACUCUUUUGAGUAAACUUAUUUAUAGAUGCCUGCUCAUUAAAUUUUCAAUCCAUGGAGUUUUUGCCAUUCCUGUUUGACCUUUUGCUGACCGUUGAUAUUUCUCUAUCUUGUGUAUGCAUCAUUUCUAAAAUUCAGGAACUAGCUGUGAUGGAAAGCACACAAGUGGCUCUUGAAAACAUUGUAAGCGCAAUUUUUGAUGGAU